RNAcentral lists this ribosomal RNA (253 nucleotides) under uncultured bacterium. RNAcentral describes it as "partial 16S ribosomal RNA". It matches the Rfam family "Bacterial small subunit ribosomal RNA", at positions 524 to 776 of the family's 1533-position model. The record is from RNAcentral.
UACGGAGGGUGCGAGCGUUGUCCGGAAUCACUGGGCGUAAAGGGCGCGUAGGCGGCCUGAUAAGUAGGGGGUGAAAUCCUGCGGCUUAACCGCAGGGCUGCCUUCUAAACUGUCAGGCUAGAGCACAGUAGAGGCAGGUGGAAUUCCCGGUGUAGCGGUGGAAUGCGUAGAGAUCGGGAAGAACAUCAGUGGCGAAGGCGGCCUGCUGGGCUGUUGCUGACGCUGAGGCGCGACAGCGUGGGGAGCAAACGGG